AGCUAAAUUGAAACCCUGGACGCAAAUGCCUAAACGUUCCUCCCGACACUCAGAAAGUUUCAAACGAUUUAAAAGUAAGAAAUUUAAAUGAUUCGUUAAGAAAAAUUUGCUUUCUCCCAUAAGAAAAGCAUUGUUUCCGACAUUUCUGGUUUUCGCGGCAGUAAUGCUGACGUCAUGCGCAGAAGAUUCUCAUUUCGGUUUCGGGAAUGACUGACCUAUAUGGAUGGAUCUUGGUCGGUGUUCGCUAAAGUCGGUUGCAAUGUCUCGCGUUCUGUCGGAGUGAAGCCCUCAUGGCUGCAAGUGAUUUUCUUUUCAUGAAAGAUUUUAAGACUCUCUUACAUCGUAACUCGUUGCUUAUCUCGUUUGUUUCGCGAAAACUCUUCGGUGUAUAUGGUAACGAUCGUGUGAAGUAAUUCGUCGCUUGGAUUGAGUACUCCUCGAAAGUUACUAAUUUGUGCGUGGUGCCCGAGUGUACAUUGAAUGAAGGCAACUGAUGCCCAAAAUUACCAUCUAUUUUCGGAGUUUCAUCGUUUCGUCGUUUUCGGCAUUUACUUUUGCCGUGUGUUGCUCGGUGCCCCGUGUGUUUCGCGGAAAUCAUUCAGCCAUGUAAGUACAUGGAAACGAUCGUGUCUAUCAAUUUGUCAUUGAAUCCGGAAAAUGGCCGCCAUGACAGUUUCUCUUUCUCUCCAAAUUUUUGGUAAUUCGUGCCCGGCGUGUGAGUGAACUGGAUUUGGAUAACUGAUAUUUGAUAAAUCCUAAAUUUUCAUCGAUUUUCGUAGUUUCCAGUGUUUCGGUGUGCCUCUGUGAGCCUGUCUAUUUUAAUAUGAACAUAUUCGCGCGGGAUUUUCUUCAUUUUUCGGUGUGCUCAUGUAGACCCUUCGUGUGAGCCUGUCUAUUUUUCUAUGAACAUAUUCGCGCGGGAUUUUCUUCAGUGUUCAGUGCCGUUGAGGGAGGGGAGGGAUUCGGUAGUGAUGCUCGUCCCUUGUGUCGGCGUAUUUCUGUGUGUGCGUCGCGGCAAGUGUUACCUAGACAUAGUAUCGUCUGUGUGAGUGUGUGUCUGCGUCUCCUUCUCAAUCUACCUACCAGGAUUAUUUUGAUUAAUAUUUCCAUACCAUUUGAAGGAGUCGAUUAUCUGGUCAUAGCUUCCUUUGAUGCGUGUAUAUUUUGGCGUUGGUCUGGAUUCAGUGCGCAGUGCGAUUUCAGUGAAAGUGUGGUGUCGUGAGUGCUUACAGCUUGGCGUCGGGCAAUUGGAUAACUCUCUUCUGGAUUGAUAGCUGCGAGACUCUCAUAAGGUAUGUCAUUUUAAUUUUCUGGAUUCUUACUUGUCUGAGAGACUAACCUUCAAUUGUUACUAUCAAGAAGACUG
RNAcentral lists this long non-coding RNA (1366 nucleotides) under Bemisia tabaci. Its description in RNAcentral is "lncRNA ENSSSA1NGG010892". The record is from RNAcentral. Lineage: Eukaryota; Metazoa; Arthropoda; Insecta; Hemiptera; Aleyrodidae.